This 250-nucleotide long non-coding RNA is filed under the name Numida meleagris (helmeted guineafowl). Its description in RNAcentral is "lncRNA (ENSNMEG00000001130.1)". Lineage: Eukaryota; Metazoa; Chordata; Aves; Galliformes; Numididae. The record is from RNAcentral.
UACAAAACGAUUUUAAAAUGCAUCAUUCUCGUGCCACUCUAAUUAAUAUUGUUUCCAGCUGAUUAGUGGUUUUGACUCCACAAGGUCAGCUGUUAAAUUGCCACAGUCACACUCAGCUCUAAGCCUGUUAGUGUUUCAUGGGGCUGAAGUUUCUCCCUUGGACAUUCUGCUUUUACAGCGAGGUGAAAUGGUGAAGAAGUGUGCCUUUCCAUCUGACCUAAGGAACCGGUUCUCUUAUUUCCUCUCUUGA